AUGUUUAUUUACAUAUAUAUAUACUUAGCAUGUUUAUUUUCAUAUAUAAUUAGAAUUCACGUAAGUCUCGGAUUUAGGCGAUUCCGAAGGAGUUCUUCACGAUUUCGACUUGGUUAAGUGUUCUAUAUCCUUAAAUGAUUACAUUUCAUGAAUCUAUACCAAUAUUCGUUUAUUUCGGAUUUGGAUGAAAGAAAUUGAAGUUUCUGUAAAACUUUUCCAAAAAUGAAAAUUUAGGAUUUGAAGGUCCAU
This 249-nucleotide long non-coding RNA is filed under the name Nicotiana benthamiana. RNAcentral's name for it is "long non-coding RNA (NBEN_LNC002275)". The record is from RNAcentral. Lineage: Eukaryota; Viridiplantae; Streptophyta; Magnoliopsida; Solanales; Solanaceae.